Molecule: ribosomal RNA, 368 nt
Filed under: uncultured organism
Description: bacterial SSU rRNA
Rfam family: Bacterial small subunit ribosomal RNA
Source: RNAcentral
CGGAGGGUGCAAGCGUUAUCCGGAUUCACUGGGUUUAAAGGGUGCGUAGGCGGGCAGGUAAGUCAGUGGUGAAAUCUCCGGGCUUAACCCGGAAACUGCCGUUGAUACUAUCUGUCUUGAAUAUCGUGGAGGUAAGCGGAAUAUGUCAUGUAGCGGUGAAAUGCUUAGAUAUGACAUAGAACACCCAUUGCGAAGGCAGCUUACUACACGAUCAUUGACGCUGAGGCACGAAAGCGUGGGGAGCAAACAGGAUUAGAUACCCUGGUAGUCCACGCCCUAAACGAUGGAUACUCGACAUCAGCGAUACACUGUUGGUGUCUGAGCGAAAGCAUUAAGUAUCCCACCUGGGAAGUACGACCGCAAGGUUG